Molecule: RNA transcript, 1561 nt
Organism: Solanum pennellii
Lineage: Eukaryota; Viridiplantae; Streptophyta; Magnoliopsida; Solanales; Solanaceae
Gene name: 2-isopropylmalate synthase A-like
Exons: 9
Source: RefSeq, marked provisional
AUGACUUCUCUCUGUGCAAAUUAUUCCUUUGGCAAUUACAUUUCAUUACAUUCUAAAAACAAUAGUGUGCCUCCAAUCAAAAGGAAUUUUCAUUCCUCAUAUGGUAUCCGUUGCUCAAAUAUUCAACGAGGCAAAUUAUCUGACCCUAACUACGUUACGAUUUUCGAUACGACGCUUCGUGACGGAGAACAGGCCCCGGGUGCAUCCAUGACUGCUAAACAAAAAAUGGAAAUUGCAUGUCAGCUAGCUAAGCUUGGUGUUGAUGUUAUUGAGGUUGGUUUUCCAGCUGCCUCCCAGGCUGAGUUUGACCUUGUAAAGUUGGUAGCACAGAAAAUUGGUAAUAACAUAGAUGAAGAGGGAUAUGUACCGAUGAUCUGUGGUUUGGCGAGAUCUACUAAGGAAGAUAUCGAUAGAGCUUGGGAGGGUUUGAAGUAUGCAAAGACACCGAUGAUUCAUAUGUUUAUCGCGACAAGUGAUAUGCAUAUGAAGUAUAAAUUGAAUAUGGGUAGAGAAGAAGUUGUGGAGAGAGCAAGGAGCAUGGUGGCUUAUGCAACAAGUCCUGGGUUCGAGCAUGUUAGGUUUAGCUUGGAAGAUGCUACAAGAUCUGAUAAGGACUUUGUUUACCAUAUUAUUGAAGAAGUUAUCAAAGCUGGAGCAACAUGCAUUUGUGUGGCUGAUACUGUUGGAUGCAAUUUACCAAAUGAAUUUGCACAACUAAUUGUUGACAUAAAAGCCAAUACCCUAGGAAUCCAAAAUGUGAUCCUUGCAGUACAUUGUCACAAUGAUCUUGGACUUGCUACUGCCAACACAUUAGCUGGAAUUUGUGCAGGAGUAAGACAAGUAGAUGUAACCAUCAAUGGUAUUGGUGAAAGAGCUGGAAAUGCUUCUCUAGAAGAGAUAGUAAUGACCAUAAAAUAUCGUGGAGAGGAAGUACUAGGUGGUGUCUAUACUGGGAUUAAUACAAAAUAUAUAUUCACAACAAGCAACAUGGUAGAGGAAUAUAGUGGGCUUAAGUUGCAGCCAAAUAAGGCCAUUGUUGGCGCUAAUGCUUUUUCUCAUGAAAGUGGAAUUCAUCAGGAUGGAAUGUUAAAGAACAGAGGAACAUAUGAAUUUAUAUCUGCUGAAGAUGUUGGAUUUAUUCGUGCUACUGAACACGGUAUUAAAUUGGGAAAACUCAGAAUAUAACAGAUGAUGAUUUAAGAGCACUCAUAUUGGACGAAACUAUAUAGCCUCAAAUUGCUUUAAAACUUGGAGAUAUAUACAUGAACUUGUCACCUAUUGAUGGAAGAGCUUAUCUAAUGUUAAAGUAGCUAGCCAAGGGUUUUGUACUACAUUAAUUGAUGUAUUAAAUUUUCUUGAACACUUUUAGGUGAACUCAAUCGUUUAUGUUCUUAGUAUUGAACCCCUUGUACUUUCGAAACCAUGAGUUUAAACUUAUGUUUGUUGUAUUUUUAAUAAGAUAGUAGUCUGGCGCUGAGGCAGGUUAUGGGUUACUUGAGAAUAAAAUUUGAUUAGUGAGACGUAUAUAUGUUAUAAAAAUGAUGGAAGGAAGUUUGUGUCA